This 460-nucleotide ribosomal RNA is filed under the name uncultured bacterium. RNAcentral describes it as "partial 16S ribosomal RNA". It matches the Rfam family "Bacterial small subunit ribosomal RNA", at positions 338 to 795 of the family's 1533-position model. The record is from RNAcentral.
CCUACGGGAGGCAGCAGUGAGGAAUAUUGGUCAAUGGACGAGAGUCUGAACCAGCCAAGUAGCGUGAAGGAUGACUGCCCUAUGGGUUGUAAACUUCGUUUAUAAAGGAAUAAAAUGAGGCACGUGUGCCUUUUUGCAUGUACUUUAUGAAUAAGGAUCGUCUAACUCCGUGCCAGCAGCCGCGGUAAUACGGAGGAUCCGAGCGUUAUCCGGAUUUAUUGGGUUUAAAGGGAGCGUAGUUGGGUUGUUAAGUCAGUUGUGAAAGUUUGCGGCUCAACCGUAAAAUUGCAAUUGAUACUGGCAGUCUUGAGUACAGUUGAGGUAGGCGGAAUUCGAGGUGUAGCGGUGAAAUGCUUAGAUAUCACGAAGAACCCCGAUUGCGAAGGCAGCUUACUAGACUGUGACUGACAUUGAUGCUCGAAAGUGUGGGUAUCGAACAGGAUUAGAUACCCUAGUAGUC